UGUUGAGAAGCUGCUGCUGUGUGACAUUAAACAAUGAAAGCGCCUCAUGUUCCUUAAAUGCCAGGCUUUUACAAUACCUACGGUAAACUGGGACCGUUGUACACAGAGGCAAUUGCUUUGUAAAUGAAGCAAAAGCCUCUGGGCCCCUGACGUUAACCCUGCAGCUCUGAACACACACACACACACAUUUUCAUACAGCCGUUGAUGACAUUGUGAAUGUACAUGAUUAUAUUUAAUCAUGCAGCAAAAUAAUUCACACCUGUUGAUAAAUAUCAGUGUCUUUAACAACCUGUUUCAGUCAUAACUUGAACAUAUACAUACGUACAUUCAAGACAUACAUAAUUCCAAAUAGUUAAAUAUUUACUCCUUUCAGCCAUAAACACAUCAGUCUUAUUUUCAUCCAGUUUUUGGGCUUGACAUUUUGAUUUGAAAUGUCACAACUUCAAAUUCUAACUUAAAUAUAAGGAAGAUACUAUGAAUCACCACAUGGUGCCUUUAGAGCCCCAGAAAACUGACAGGAGAAAUGGCAACAGAGAGCAUUAGUCAGGUUUACAUAAAGUUACUGUAUAUAAACUUAUGUUAUUGCCCAAGGACACACAGGCAUGUAACUGGAAAUGAUCUUUAUAGAAGGGAAUCAAACUCUACCUACUAAUCUGCAAAUAAAUAUAUGCAUAUAUAUAUAUAUAUACAUAUAUUUAUGCAUAUAUGUUUAUAUACAUAGGAGCAUUUUUUGUAAUGAUGUUACACUAGUGGUGCAGAGUAACCUAUGUUACAUUGUUACUGUGUUAGUCCGGUCUAUUAUUAGAAGAGAAACGUUUCUCGUCCUCAUUCAACACGAUGAACCAGCGCUUCUCUGUUAACUUGAAAGGAAAACUGACAUCCUGACCAAACUUUGAUGAAACCACAGUCACAACCAGGGGAUUUUGGGUCAACUAAUGAGAACAGAGAGCGCCACUCUGCCACAGGGAGAAAAGGAUUUGCAUGUAUUCAAACAGUGCUGGAGUUAAUUGCACAACUUAUUAUUCUGAAAAUGACAUAGUUAGUCAGCGUUCGUUGUCACAGGGUGCUGAGCUAGCUUUGUCCUCUUUUAUAAUCCAGUGGAAACAAAGUUUAUUAAUAUGGUAACACGAUGUGUGUGUUAACACUAGAAACUUUACACUUUACCGAACAAAGAAAUCUAUAACAGAAAAACGAGUUUGACUUCCUUCUUAUAACAAAAGGAUAUAAGGGAAAUAUAUAUUUUUUAUAUAUAAAAUAAUAUUUAAAUGUAAUAAAGAAGUCUAUUUGAAUUUAGCUUUGAAUUUAGCUUUUUAGCUGUUAUUGUUGUUGUAUCAGCAUGAAUAAAACACAGUUUAAAAACCUGUACCCUUAAGAGUUUCAAAACUUUUCACAAGAGGUCAUAUCUUUUUUUUCAUUCACUAUAAUUUAUAUUAACAAAAUAAUACUUAAAUGGUGUUAAUUUUCUUCUUCUAUCUCACAGCUGCCUUCAUGGAAACGAUGAUGACUUGUGAGCACAUUAUCCAGCUUCAUGUCCAUGUGUUGAACCUUCAUCAUUAGCAUGUGGAAAAUACUGCAGUUCUCCGUUGUCACUAAAACACAGAAGGUGACACUUGUUGGUGUUGUUCCCCCAGUGUCCAAAAGGUGGCGCAUGAGACACAUCAAACACACACUGGAGUACUGGCGGUGAGUGAAGAGUCCCGUCCUUCGAAGACGCACUUACUGCACUGUUACACUGUUGUUAGAAGAGUUUGGAUUGUUGUCGUCGACAGACAACAGUCAGACACUGAACAGUUCGACUGAAUGACGUCUGUGUUAAAGACGAUAACUGGAAAAAACUGGUACAAGUUAAAGAGGAUUACAGAAGUACGAAACGUUUCUUAGUUUGAAGAUAUUUUUGAAGAGAACAUUCUUUCUUUCUUCUAUUUUUUUUUUUGCAGAGAUAAAUAUACACUCCUAACCGCAGGUGAGGUAGGGAAAAUAUUUAACCCAACUCCAAUCUAAAUUUGCGACAACAUUAAAUUUUGUUACCGUAGUAAUCGUAAUAAAUGUCAACGUGUCCUCACAAUGAUGGGUUUGGACCGAGACCCGUCCACAACCCAUCAAAAAUUAAUUUACACACAUUUUAACAACAUUAUCUAAAAACAAUAACCAAACACAGAUGAUGUGUCAUCUCAUCUGUACUCCACUGCACCUCACCAUAACUCAGACCUCAAUAAGGACCUCCUGCCCCCCCAAACCUUCUAAAUAACAGAUAGAAAAAUCUUUCUCACACUCUGUGACUUUCUACAUGUGUACAGUUUCAUAAAACACUAA
This is a long non-coding RNA of Cynoglossus semilaevis (tongue sole), 2313 nucleotides long. RefSeq lists it as uncharacterized. The record is from RefSeq and is a predicted model, not a curated record. The transcript is spliced from 3 exons. Lineage: Eukaryota; Metazoa; Chordata; Actinopteri; Pleuronectiformes; Cynoglossidae.